This 497-nucleotide ribosomal RNA is filed under the name uncultured bacterium. RNAcentral's name for it is "partial 16S ribosomal RNA". It matches the Rfam family "Bacterial small subunit ribosomal RNA", at positions 28 to 507 of the family's 1533-position model. The record is from RNAcentral.
GAUGAACGCUGGCGGCGUGCCUAAUACAUGCAAGUCGAGCGAACAGACGAGGAGCUUGCUCCUUUGACGUUAGCGGCGGACGGGUGAGUAACACGUGGGUAACCUACCUAUAAGACUGGGAUAACUUCGGGAAACCGGAGCUAAUACCGGAUAAUAUUUCGAACCGCAUGGUUCGAUAGUGAAAGAUGGCUCUGCUAUCACUUAUAGAUGGACCUGCGCCGGAUUAGCUAGUUGGUAAGGUAACGGCUUACCAAGGCAACGAUACGUAGCCGACCUGAGAGGGUGAUCGGCCACACUGGAACUGAGACACGGUCCAGACUCCUACGGGAGGCAGCAGUAGGGAAUCUUCCGCAAUGGGCGAAAGCCUGACGGAGCAACGCCGCGUGAGUGAUGAAGGUCUUCGGAUCGUAAAACUCUGUUAUUAGGGAAGAACAAAAGUGUAAGUAACUGUGCACGUCUUGACGGUACCUAAUCAGAAAGCCACGGCUAACUACGUG